GGGGAAUAUUGCACAAUGGAGGAAACUCUGAUGCAGCGACGCCGCGUGAGUGAAGAAGGUCUGCGGAUCGUAAAACUCUGUCCUUGGUGACGAAAAAAAUGACGGUAGCCAAGGAGGAAGCCCCGGCUAACGACGUGCCAGCAGCCGCGGUAAUACGUAGGGGGCGAGCGUUGUCCGGAUUUACUGGGCGUAAAGGGUGAGUAGGCGGUAAUAUGUGUCAGAUGUAAAAGGCUAUGGCUUAACCAUAGUUAGCAUUUGAAACUGUAUUACUUGAGUGCAGGAGAGGUAAGUGGAAUUCCUAGUGUAGCGGUGAAAUGCGUAGAUAUUAGCAGGAACACCGGUGGCGAAGGCGGCUGGCUGGACAAAUACUGACGCUGAGGUGCGAAAGCGUGGGGAGCAAACA
Molecule: ribosomal RNA, 403 nt
Filed under: uncultured Sedimentibacter sp.
Lineage: Bacteria; Bacillati; Bacillota; Tissierellia
Description: bacterial SSU rRNA
Rfam family: Bacterial small subunit ribosomal RNA
Source: RNAcentral